This 305-nucleotide ribosomal RNA is filed under the name uncultured bacterium. Its description in RNAcentral is "bacterial SSU rRNA". It matches the Rfam family "Bacterial small subunit ribosomal RNA", at positions 334 to 637 of the family's 1533-position model. The record is from RNAcentral.
CAUUCCUACGGGAGGCAGCAGUGAGGAAUAUUGGUCGAUGGGCGCGAGCCUGAACCAGCCAAGUCGCGUGAGGGAAGACGGUCCUAUGGAUUGUAAACCUCUUUUGUCGGGGAGCAAAAGACGCCACGCGUGGCGUUCCGAGAGUACCCGAAGAAAAAGCAUCGGCUAACUCCGUGCCAGCAGCCGCGGUAAUACGGAGGAUGCGAGCGUUAUCUGGAUUUAUUGGGUUUAAAGGGUGCGCAGGCGGAAGAUCAAGUCAGCGGUAAAAUUGCGGGGCUCAACCUCGUCGAGCCGUUGAAACUGGG